GACGUAGGAGGCGAGCGUUGUCCGGAUUCAUUGGGCGUAAAGAGCACGCAGGCGGUUUGGCAAGUCUGAUGUGAAAUCCCGGGGCUCAACCCCGGAACUGCAUUGGAUACUGCCUUGCUAGAGUACUGGAGAGGAGACUGGAAUUUACGGUGUAGCAGUGAAAUGCGUAGAGAUCGUAAGGAAGGCCAGUGGCGAAGGCGAGUCUCUGGACAGUAACUGACGCUGAGGCACGAAGGCCAGGGGAGCAAACGGG
Molecule: ribosomal RNA, 253 nt
Filed under: uncultured bacterium
Lineage: Bacteria
Description: partial 16S ribosomal RNA
Rfam family: Bacterial small subunit ribosomal RNA
Source: RNAcentral